GUUAUUGUAGCUUGCCGCAAAGCGUGGCUCCGAACCCGCCAGAACGGGCGGCGACGGACCCCAAAAACA
Molecule: transfer RNA, 69 nt
Filed under: Malacochersus tornieri
Lineage: Eukaryota; Metazoa; Chordata; Testudines; Testudinidae
Description: tRNA-Phe
Source: RNAcentral